UGCCUCUCCCCCCACAGCUGACGUCCAGCCAUUCAGCCUGCAGCUGGGCCUUCCCACAGGGCCUUCUGCUGAGCAUAAGCCUUAGCAACUUUAACAGUUAUAACCCCAUAUCCCGCAUUCAGACUGUAAAUUGUACCACCUAGUAGCUUGAGAAUUUUGUACAGGAAUUUCCUUAGGACUCCUGGGCAAAUGUCACCUGCUCCAGACAAUUUUAUUACUGUUUUAGUGAUCUAUUUUAAGAACUUUUCUCCUGACUUUUCAAUUUGAAAAUGUCAUUCUGCUGAAAAAAAAAAAAAAAAAAAAAAAAAAAAGAGUCCUCUGUAAUUUUCUCAAUAAUGAAUCACAGGACAAUGCACUGGUUUAUGUAAUCGCCCCAUGGAUUCCUUGGAGAGUACCUGAGUAAUGACAGAUAGACAAAAUAGUGUUCACAGCCACCAGUGGUUCUUGGCUCUGUGAGAACUCUCCAAGCAAGAAGUAAUUUAAAUCCAAUAAUAGGAAACACAGAGAAGAUACUGAGGUACUCCUCUUGAAGAUAGAUGGAAUUCCUUAAAAUCGGUAUCUCACUGUCUGUUCUGGCUAUCCAGUUAGAUUCUUCUGUUUUUUUCUGCUUAUACUUAAGAUGGAAAUAAUGGCAAGAGAAAUUCCUUGGUGACAAUUUGUGUGCUUUCAUCUGGAGCCACUUGUUACAGAGGAUGAGACAACUUUUUUAAAUCUCAG
RNAcentral lists this long non-coding RNA (717 nucleotides) under Parus major (Great Tit). RNAcentral's name for it is "lncRNA (ENSPMJG00000014576.1)". Lineage: Eukaryota; Metazoa; Chordata; Aves; Passeriformes; Paridae. The record is from RNAcentral.